Molecule: non-coding RNA, 1106 nt
Organism: Sus scrofa (pig)
Lineage: Eukaryota; Metazoa; Chordata; Mammalia; Artiodactyla; Suidae
Source: RefSeq, a predicted model, not a curated record
CCCUAGGAAAGGCAAAAAAAAAAAAAAGCAGUCUGUUUUACUUUUUUCUUAAUUUUUUUUCCUGACUCAGGCUUUCCUCUCAGGAUUUUCGAAAAAUUCUCCCCAGAAAAAUUCACAGACCUUAAAAUAUUUGUAGACAGUGUAAGUUAAACAUUUCUGAACCUCCUUGAAGUCUAUCACGGGCUGUGUAAAUCCUCAGGUUAAAUAACGUCUGCCCUGGAGGAUCUGAUGUAGUUAAGAGAAAGCCUGGCCUUUAGAAGAGUUUUCCACAAAUGUACCAUUUUCAUCAGUUUUCCUACUGUGAGGGUGACAGCAGAACAAGAGAAGAUGCAGUCACAGGUCCCAGGAUGACUAGAAGGUACCAGGAGCUUGUGCUGUUGUGAUGGAGAACUUGGUGGACUACCGCCUGCUUGUCCUGGGGCGAGAAUGCUUGUCAACCUGCUUGAUCAAGCCCCUCCUGCAAUCCAUGAUGAGUGUCACCUGGCACCGUUGCUCAUGGUGCAGAGACUCCAGCCAGUGGAGGCCAAAAAUGUCUGCCUGAAUAAGCCAGGAGGAAGUCAAGGCGAGGCUGUUGUGCUUCGUGGGGAUCUGACGAGGAAGACGAGGACUGGGUGAGACUUUGUAAUUUUCCGCUGAUCCAAUUCAAAGUGUGAGUCUCAGUGGAAGCCAAGUGGUAACUCCACAGUUACUGAGGGGUUUCCAUGUGCACUUAUCUGCCUUCAGCUGAUGUGACCUGCCCAAGACUAUGGAAACCUCUCCCGGGCCCAAGCUGUGGGCGCCUCUCGGCAGCACUGCAGGCGACGACGUUGUCAGAAGAUGCUUCUGUCUUUGCUCAGAGCUCACAUUCCUGGCUGUUGAUCAAACUGAAACGGACAGUAUUAACAGCCUGAACUUAGCCAAACCCAGAUUGGAACUUGAACCCACGUGCUGGGACUCGAACCCAGCCUAAACCCAGAUUGGGACUUGAACCCAAGGUUUUCAAUUAGAAGCACUCACCCUGUGUCUGGACUCCCUGAGGUUCAGGGUCUUCAUGUCUCUGCACAGAAGGAAUUCAGCGAGAGACAAAGUGAUAGGCAAGAAAUAGACUUAUUAGGAUGGGAUGCUUG